Salvelinus sp. IW2-2015 is the source of this 614-nucleotide long non-coding RNA. RefSeq lists it as uncharacterized. Lineage: Eukaryota; Metazoa; Chordata; Actinopteri; Salmoniformes; Salmonidae. The record is from RefSeq and is a predicted model, not a curated record.
UGUGUGCAAUUAAUUAAAAGGUACAACAGAAAAGCAGGCUCCGGACCUCAUAGGGUAAGAGUUGAAUACCCCUGCACUAUGGGUCAUCAUCAGCUAGGUCAGGGCUUAAACUUCUGGUUUUUACCCUCUCCUAAUCAGGGACUGAUUCAGACCUGGGACACCAGGUGAGUGCAAUUAACUACCAGGUAGAAACAAAACACAGAAGGGUUUUGGCCCUCCAGGACCAGAAUUGAACCAUUUCAUCUAAGUCUGUCAUCCAUAGGUGCUUUGAUCCCUGUGGUGUGUGGCUCUCAAAGGGAAUGACUAAGUCUGUAAUAACUGCUUUAAGCUCUCCCUGACUCAAUGAGUGACUGAUACAGGCACUGAGAGAGAUUGACAGAAAUCAGAGGGACUCUAUCUGAAUCUAAUCAUGAUGCCUGUCAAGCAGAGCAGCCACAGGGUCUCUGGAUGGGGUGGGGCUAAAGCAGGAAGUGAGCCUUAGCCUGGUGCUGUGGGAAUGUGUUUUCCUGCGACUGAGUGAUUCUCACUGUUCCACAGCUUCUGUACUUUUGACAAAGUUUCUCAUGUGAGUUGAAUUUUACAAUGACAACCAAUAAACCAAGUAUUGAGCUAUG